Non-coding RNA from Schizosaccharomyces pombe (fission yeast), 285 nucleotides. Lineage: Eukaryota; Fungi; Ascomycota; Schizosaccharomycetes; Schizosaccharomycetales; Schizosaccharomycetaceae. The record is from the annotation of a GenBank genome assembly.
CUUUUUUCUCUUCUCUUGCUGCGUUUCUCUGUUUACUUUUGCGCUCGCCUGCUGCUUCUGCCUCGUCUCCCCUCUGAGUCACAUGUCACCCGAUCCAAAGUUGAAAUUUGCAUUGUAGCGGCUUUUGCACGCUGCUUUUCCGAGGAUCAGGGCUAUCGAGCCUGAACCAACAUGGUCGGAUUGAUUGGCCCGUGGAAAAUAUUGACUCUUUCGUGAUUGGUGGGCUAACGUAAUUGAUUAUCUUGAUCGUAUCCAUACAAAAGCGCAACAAAUCCUCCUCAAAAA